UACGUAGGGUGCGAGCGUUAAUCGGAUUUACUGGGCGUAAAGCGUGCGCAGGCGGCCCGUUAAGACAGGUGUGAAAUCCCUGGGCUCAACCUAGGAAUUGCGCUUGUGACUGGUGGGCUCGAGUACGGUAGAGGGGGGUGGAAUUCCUGGUGUAGCAGUGAAAUGCGUAGAGAUCAGGAGGAACACCGAUGGCGAAGGCAGCCCCCUGGGCCUGUACUGACGCUCAUGCACGAGAGCGUGGGGAGCAAACAGG
This 253-nucleotide ribosomal RNA is filed under the name uncultured microorganism. RNAcentral describes it as "partial 16S ribosomal RNA". It matches the Rfam family "Bacterial small subunit ribosomal RNA", at positions 524 to 776 of the family's 1533-position model. The record is from RNAcentral.